GCCAACUUAGCUCAGUCGGUAGAGCACUUCCUUGGUAAGGAAGAGGUCGUCAGUUCGAUUCUGAUAGUUGGCUCCA
Molecule: transfer RNA, 76 nt
Filed under: Kiritimatiellia bacterium
Lineage: Bacteria; Pseudomonadati; Kiritimatiellota; Kiritimatiellia
Description: Kiritimatiellae bacterium (gut metagenome) tRNA-Thr
Rfam family: tRNA
About the family: Transfer RNA (tRNA) molecules are approximately 80 nucleotides in length. Their secondary structure includes four short double-helical elements and three loops (D, anti-codon, and T loops). Further hydrogen bonds mediate the characteristic L-shaped molecular structure. tRNAs have two regions of fundamental functional importance: the anti-codon, which is responsible for specific mRNA codon recognition, and the 3' end, to which the tRNAs corresponding amino acid is attached (by aminoacyl-tRNA synthetases). tRNAs cope with the degeneracy of the genetic code in two manners: having more than one tRNA (with a specific anti-codon) for a particular amino acid; and 'wobble' base-pairing, i.e. permitting non-standard base-pairing at the 3rd anti-codon position.
Source: RNAcentral